Molecule: ribosomal RNA, 247 nt
Filed under: uncultured bacterium
Lineage: Bacteria
Description: partial 16S ribosomal RNA
Rfam family: Bacterial small subunit ribosomal RNA
Source: RNAcentral
AUACGGAGGAUCCGAGCGUUAUCCGGAUUUAUUGGGUUUAAAGGGUGCGCAGGCGGGAGAUUAAGUCGGCGGUGAAAUUUUGCAGCUUAACUGUAAAAGUGCCUUCGAAACUGGUUUCCUUGAGUGUAGAUGAAGUAGGCGGAAUGCGUGGUGUAGCGGUGAAAUGCAUAGAUAUCACGCAGAACUCCGAUUGCGAAGGCAGCUUACUAAGCUACAACUGACACUGAGGCACGAAAGCGUGGGGAUC